CAGUAGCCACGGUAAUACAGAGGGUGCGAGCGUUAAUCGGAUUUACUGGGCGUAAAGCGUGCGUAGGCGGCUUCUUAAGUCGGAUGUGAAAUCCCUGAGCUUAACUUAGGAAUUGCAUUCGAUACUGGGAAGCUAGAGUAUGGGAGAGGAUGGUAGAAUUCCAGGUGUAGCGGUGAAAUGCGUAGAGAUCUGGAGGAAUACCGAUGGCGAAGGCAGCCAUCUGGCCUAAUACUGACGCUGAGGUACGAAAGCAUGGGGAGCAAACAGGAUUAGAUACCCGAGUAGUCCCUGUCUCUUAUAU
This 301-nucleotide ribosomal RNA is filed under the name uncultured bacterium. RNAcentral's name for it is "partial 16S ribosomal RNA". It matches the Rfam family "Bacterial small subunit ribosomal RNA", at positions 509 to 809 of the family's 1533-position model. The record is from RNAcentral.